This 838-nucleotide ribosomal RNA is filed under the name uncultured bacterium. RNAcentral's name for it is "bacterial SSU rRNA". It matches the Rfam family "Bacterial small subunit ribosomal RNA", at positions 548 to 1389 of the family's 1533-position model. The record is from RNAcentral.
GAUUUAUUGGGUUUAAAGGGUGCGCAGGCGGGCUUUUAAGUCAGCGGUGAAAUUUCCAGGCUCAACCUGGGCACUGCCGUUGAAACUGGGGGUCUUGAGUACAGAUGAAGUAGGCGGAAUUCGUUGUGUAGCGGUGACAUGCUUAGAUAUAACGAGGAACUCCGAUUGCGUAGGCAGCUUACUAAACUGUUACUGACGCUCAAGCACGAAAGCGUGGGGAUCAAACAGGAUUAGAUACCCUGGUAGUCCACGCCGUAAACGAUGAUUACUAGUUGUAUGCGAUAUACCGUAUGUGACUAAGCGAAAGCGAUAAGUAAUCCACCUGGGGAGUACGCUGGCAACAGUGAAACUCAAAGGAAUUGACGGGGGCCCGCACAAGCGGAGGAACAUGUGGUUUAAUUCGAUGAUACGCGAGGAACCUUACCCGGGCUUGAAAUGCAUACGACGGACCUUGAAAGGGGUUUUCUAGCAAUAGCGUAUGUGUAGGUGCUGCAUGGUUGUCGUCAGCUCGUGCCGUGAGGUGUCGGCUUAAGUGCCAUAACGAGCGCAACCCACAUCAUUAGUUACUAACAGGUUAAGCUGAGGACUCUAAUGAGACUGCCGUCGUAAGAUGCGAGGAAGGUGUGGAUGACGUCAAAUCAGCACGGCCCUUACGUCCGGGGCGACACACGUGUUACAAUGGGAGGUACAAAGGGCAGCUACUUGGCGACAAGAUGCCAAUCCCCAAAGCCUCUCCCAGUUCGGAUCGGAGUCUGCAACUCGACUCCGUGAAGCUGGAUUCGCUAGUAAUCGCGCAUCAGCCAUGGCGCGGUGAAUACGUUCCCGGGCAUUGUACACA